UUGGGUGCCUUAGGUGUUGAUGCUGCAGAUGGAUGUCAUCUGCUGUAGAAGCCCAGACAGAAACUUUCUGUUGGAGAAAUCCGACUAGAGUCCGAUGGCUAGAGAAGUCCAUCUGGAAUUUGUCUGAUGUAGAAGCUUGUCUGAAGACUGUCCGCUGGAGAGGUCCAGUUGCAUGAGGAAUCCGACAGAAGGUCGACCGAUAGCAAAAUUCAAAAGGUGCUAUAGAAGGUUGACCGAUAGAAGAGUCUGAAAGGUGUUGUGGAAGUUCGUCCGCUGGAGGAGUUUGGAGGACACUGUGGAAGGUCGACCGCUGGAGGGGUCCGGAGGGAAUUUGUCCAUUGGAGGGGUCUGGUUAGCCCUGUUGAAGUUCAGUUAGCACUGUUGAAGGUUGAUGGUUGGUGAGGCAUGGAAGACACCGGAGACAGUCGGUCACUAUAGA
This 439-nucleotide long non-coding RNA is filed under the name Elaeis guineensis (African oil palm). RNAcentral describes it as "long non-coding RNA (EGUI_LNC042737)". Lineage: Eukaryota; Viridiplantae; Streptophyta; Magnoliopsida; Arecales; Arecaceae. The record is from RNAcentral.